This 332-nucleotide ribosomal RNA is filed under the name uncultured bacterium. Its description in RNAcentral is "bacterial SSU rRNA". It matches the Rfam family "Bacterial small subunit ribosomal RNA", at positions 568 to 898 of the family's 1533-position model. The record is from RNAcentral.
CGUGUAGGCGGGAAUGCAAGUCAGAUGUGAAAUGCCGAGGCUUAACCUCGGAGCUGCAUCUGAAACUGCGUUUCUUGAGUGUCGGAGAGGAAAGUGGAAUUCCCAGUGUAGCGGUGAAAUGCGUAGAUAUUGGGAGGAACACCAGUGGCGAAGGCGACUUUCUGGACGAUAACUGACGCUGAGGCGCGAAAGCGUGGGGAGCAAACAGGAUUAGAUACCCUGGUAGUCCACGCCGUAAACGAUGGAUACUAGGUGUGGGAGGUAUCGACCCCUUCCGUGCCGCAGUUAACACAAUAAGUAUCCCACCUGGGGAGUACGGCCGCAAGGUUGAA